Molecule: long non-coding RNA, 1070 nt
Filed under: Triticum aestivum (bread wheat)
Lineage: Eukaryota; Viridiplantae; Streptophyta; Magnoliopsida; Poales; Poaceae
Description: long non-coding RNA (TAES_LNC027981)
Source: RNAcentral
GAAAAUUAUAAGCAACAUAUAAGAUAUAACACCAUCGAGCCGGCAAGGUACAACCCUCUCCUGUACACUGUACAUGCUAAACAAAAAUAGGUGUAUGGAAAGUAAAAUUGUGUCAAAUAUAUUAAGUUUAUUGUAUGGUUUGAUCUAAUCUAAUCAACACAUAUAUCCUCCAACUGCAUAUUGUGCCGGGCAAAAAUUAUGUAAACUACUGAAUCUACAAAAACCAUCUAGAAAUAGCAGCAACAUAUUGUGUCCAAUAAUUGCAUUCAGCCAGUACAAACAAUAUAAGUGCCACAUAACUAGGUAAGACAAUCAUCUCCAAUAGAUACAGGACAAUUAUUUUCAGUAGUGUGUGUACUACUGUAGCAAGGGGUACUCCCACCAGCCAGAAUGUUCACACAAGUAAGCUCUUCAGCCAACAUUUAGGCCUGCAUUAUUUGUUGUGGUGGAUAUGUUGGGCUGCUAUCAGAAGGGUGGUGGUGGUGGUGGUGAGCCGCCUGGGCCCGGGGGUCCGAAGAAUGGGGCGCAGCAGUCUUGGAGCAGGCAGCAACAACAGAGGAGGUAGAACUGCACAAGAAGUAUUCGUCCUGAGUUUCAGAGAAUAUAAACAAUCUGUUUCAAACAGGGAAAAAAAUUCAAAGGAAGAAAUAUAAACGAUCGACUAAUGUAUGCUUCGCCACUUAUAUAUUGCAAUUUGAUUGAGUUGACCACUAAACCACUAACCAUCUAACUGAAUGAAUUGCUUUCUCUUUUCUUUUGGAGAUGUUGAUGUUGAUAAUACUAAUUUGAUGAUUUCGCUGGCAAAAAUGCACAGUUUAAAUUUCUGUUAGUAGCUGAGGAUUCAACUUACCAGGACCCGAAGAAGCCACCAAACCAAGGCCCCCAAGAACCAGGGCCAGGGCCUCCCCAACCUGGUCCUCCAGGCCCACGAGGACCCAUUCCACCAACACAGAAACAACUGGUUAAUACAGACUACAGCUUCACAAGAACUCAGCCAGGACACAAUACAAGAGUUGAUGCCCCAAUUGGAGAUGAAGAAGAAUUUAUAGAUGUAGGGUGAGAAUAAGUAG